RNAcentral lists this transfer RNA (72 nucleotides) under Camelus bactrianus (Bactrian camel). It matches the Rfam family "tRNA". Rfam says of the family: Transfer RNA (tRNA) molecules are approximately 80 nucleotides in length. RNAcentral also lists the same sequence under 2 other names. The record is from Rfam by way of RNAcentral. Lineage: Eukaryota; Metazoa; Chordata; Mammalia; Artiodactyla; Camelidae.
GGGGCUAUAGCUCAGUGGUACAGCACACGCUUAGUGUGCAUGAAGCCCUGGGUUCAAUCCCCAGUCCUUCCA